RNAcentral lists this unclassified non-coding RNA (144 nucleotides) under soil metagenome. RNAcentral's name for it is "partial internal transcribed spacer 1". The record is from RNAcentral.
UAAUAAGUGUUUUAUGGCACUUUUUAAAUCCAUAUCCACCUUGUGUGCAUGUCAGUCGAUCUUCUUCAUGGAGAUCGACCAAACAUCAACCUUUAUCUUUCAACUCUUUGUCUGAAAAAUAUUAUGAAUAAACAAUUCAAAAUA